AACGAACGCUGGCGGCAGGCCUAACACAUGCAAGUCGAGCGCCCUUUCGGGGGAGCGGCGGACGGGUGAGUAACGCGUGGGAAUAUGCCCUUCUCUACGGAAUAGCCUCGGGAAACUGAGAGUAAUACCGUAUACGCCCUGUGGGGGAAAGAUUUAUCGGGGAAGGAUUAGCCCGCGUUGGAUUAGGUAGUUGGUGGGGUAAUGGCCUACCAAGCCGACGAUCCAUAGCUGGUUUGAGAGGAUGAUCAGCCACACUGGGACUGAGACACGGCCCAGACUCCUACGGGAGGCAGCAGUGGGGAAUCUUAGACAAUGGGGGCAACCCUGAUCUAGCCAUGCCGCGUGAGUGAUGAAGGCCUUAGGGUUGUAAAGCUCUUUCAGCUGGGAAGAUAAUGACGGUACCAGCAGAAGAAGCCCCGGCUAACUCCGUGCCAGCCGCCGCAGUAA
Molecule: ribosomal RNA, 447 nt
Filed under: uncultured bacterium
Lineage: Bacteria
Description: partial 16S ribosomal RNA
Rfam family: Bacterial small subunit ribosomal RNA
Source: RNAcentral